Non-coding RNA from Caenorhabditis elegans, 21 nucleotides. NCBI's taxonomy places the organism in Eukaryota, Metazoa, Nematoda, Chromadorea, Rhabditida, Rhabditidae. The record is from Ensembl.
UGUUGUGUACUCAUGGGAAUG